AGCGAACGCUGGCGGCAGGCCUAACACAUGCAAGUCGAACGAACCUUUCGGGGUUAGUGGCGGACGGGUGAGUAACACGUGGGAACGUGCCUUUAGGUUCGGCAUAACUCAGGGAAACUUGUGCUAAUACCGAAUGUGCCCUUCUGGGGGAAGAUUAAUCGCCUUUAGAGCGGCCCGCGUCUGAUUAGCUAGUUGGUUGAGGUAAUGGCUCACCAAGGCGACGAUCAGUAGCUGGUCUGAGAGGAUGAUCAGCCACAUUGGGACUGAGACACGGCCCAAACUCCUACGGGAGGCAGCAGUGGGGAAUCUUGCGCAAUGGGCGAAAGCCUGACGCAGCCAUGCCGCGUGAAUGAUGAAGGUCGGAGGAUUGUAAAAUUCUUUCACCGGGGACGAUAAUGACGGUACCCGGAGAAGAAGCCCCGGCUAACUUCGUG
RNAcentral lists this ribosomal RNA (434 nucleotides) under uncultured bacterium. RNAcentral describes it as "partial 16S ribosomal RNA". It matches the Rfam family "Bacterial small subunit ribosomal RNA", at positions 29 to 507 of the family's 1533-position model. The record is from RNAcentral.